Molecule: ribosomal RNA, 428 nt
Filed under: Bacteroidota bacterium
Lineage: Bacteria; Pseudomonadati; Bacteroidota
Description: Bacteroidetes bacterium partial 16S ribosomal RNA
Rfam family: Bacterial small subunit ribosomal RNA
Source: RNAcentral
UAGGGAAUCUUCGGCAAUGGGGGGAACCCUGACCGAGCAACGCCGCGUGAGUGAAGAAGGUUUUCGGAUCGUAAAGCUCUGUUGUUAAGGAAGAACGAGUGUGAGAAUGAAAAGUUCAUACUGUGACGGUACUUAACCAGAAAGGGACGGCUAACUACGUGCCAGCAGCCGCGGUAAUACGUAGGUCCCGAGCGUUGUCCGGAUUUAUUGGGCGUAAAGCGAGCGCAGGCGGUUAGAUAAGUCUGAAGUUAAAGGCAGUGGCUCAACCAUUGUAGGCUUUGGAAACUGUUUAACUUGAGUGCAGAAGGGGAGAGUGAAUUCCAUGUGUAGCGGUGAAAUGCGUAGAUAUAUGGAGGAACACCGGUGGCGAAAGCGGCUCUCUGGUCUGUAACUGACGCUGAGGCUCGAAAGCGUGGGGAGCGAACAGG